UAGGGAAUCUUCCACAAUGGACGCAAGUCUGAUGGAGCAACGCCGCGUGAGUGAAGAAGGUUUUCGGAUCGUAAAGCUCUGUUGUUGGUGAAGAAGGAUAGAGGCAGUAACUGGUCUUUAUUUGACGGUAAUCAACCAGAAAGUCACGGCUAACUACGUGCCAGCAGCCGCGGUAAUACGUAGGUGGCAAGCGUUGUCCGGAUGUAUUGGGCGUAAAGCGAGCGCAGGCGGAAUGAUAAGUCUGAUGUGAAAGCCCACGGCUCAACCGUGGAACUGCAUCGGAAACUGUCAUUCUUGAGUACAGAAGAGAAGAGUAGAAUUCCAUGUGUAGAGGUGGGAUGCGUAGAUAUAUGGAAGAACACCAGUGGCGAAGGCGGCUCUCUGGUCUGCAACUGACGCUGAGGCUCGAAAGCAUGGGUAGCGAAAAGG
This 429-nucleotide ribosomal RNA is filed under the name bacterium. Its description in RNAcentral is "partial 16S ribosomal RNA". It matches the Rfam family "Bacterial small subunit ribosomal RNA", at positions 355 to 776 of the family's 1533-position model. The record is from RNAcentral.